Molecule: ribosomal RNA, 1647 nt
Filed under: Pseudoalteromonas ulvae
Lineage: Bacteria; Pseudomonadati; Pseudomonadota; Gammaproteobacteria; Alteromonadales; Pseudoalteromonadaceae
Description: bacterial LSU rRNA
Rfam family: Bacterial large subunit ribosomal RNA
Source: RNAcentral
GUUGUAUGGUUAAGUGACUAAGCGUACACGGUGGAUGCCUUGGCAGUUGGAGGCGAUGAAGGACGUAUUAACUUGCGAUAAGCUUAGUCGAGCUAGUAAAAAGCACUUGAGACUAAGAUUUCCGAAUGGGGAAACCCACCUGUUUACAGGUAUCGUUAACUGAAUACAUAGGUUAACGAGGCGAACGCGGAGAACUGAAACAUCUAAGUACCCGUAGGAAAAGAAAUCAACCGAGAUUCCGGAAGUAGCGGCGAGCGAAACCGGAACAGCCCUUAAGCUUAUUUGUGAUUAGUGGAAUGCUCUGGAAAGUGCAGCGACACAGGGUGAUAGCCCCGUACAUGAAAAUCUAUAGUAAGUGAAAUCGAGUAGGUCGGGACACGUGUUAUCUUGACUGAAUAUAGGGGGACCAUCCUCUAAGGCUAAAUACUCCCAACUGACCGAUAGUGAACCAGUACCGUGAGGGAAAGGCGAAAAGAACCCCUGUGAGGGGAGUGAAAUAGAACCUGAAACCGUGUACGUACAAGCAGUAGGAGCAUACUUGUUAUGUGACUGCGUACCUUUUGUAUAAUGGGUCAGCGACUUAUAUUUUGUAGCGAGGUUAACCAAUUAGGGGAGCCGUAGGGAAACCGAGUCUUAACUGGGCGUAUAGUUGCAAGGUAUAGACCCGAAACCCGGUGAUCUAGCCAUGGGCAGGUUGAAGGUUGAGUAACAUCAACUGGAGGACCGAACCCACUAACGUUGAAAAGUUAGGGGAUGACUUGUGGCUAGGAGUGAAAGGCUAAUCAAACCGGGAGAUAGCUGGUUCUCCCCGAAAUCUAUUUAGGUAGAGCCUCGGACGAAUACUUACGGGGGUAGAGCACUGUUAAGGCUAGGGGGUCAUCCCGACUUACCAACCCUUUGCAAACUCCGAAUACCGUAAAGUAAUAUCCGGGAGACACACGGCGGGUGCUAACGUCCGUCGUGAAGAGGGAAACAACCCAGACCGCCAGCUAAGGUCCCAAAGUGUAUGUUAAGUGGGAAACGAUGUGGAAAGGCCCAGACAGCCAGGAGGUUGGCUUAGAAGCAGCCAUCCUUUAAAGAAAGCGUAAUAGCUCACUGGUCGAGUCGGUCUGCGCGGAAGAUGUAACGGGGCUAAACAUACCACCGAAGCUGCGGCUGCAUACUUAUGUAUGCGGGGUAGGGGAGCGUUCUGUAAGCCGUUGAAGGUGAACCGGGAGGUUUGCUGGAGGUAUCAGAAGUGCGAAUGCUGACAUGAGUAACGAUAAUGCGGGUGAAAAACCCGCACGCCGGAAGACCAAGGGUUCCUAUCCCAUGUUAAUCAGGGUAGGGUGAGUCGACCCCUAAGGCGAGGCGGAAACGCGUAGUCGAUGGGAAACGGGUUAAUAUUCCCGUACUCGGCAUGAAUGCGAUGGGGAGACGGAGCAGGCUAGGCAAGCAUGGCGUUGGUUGUCCAUGUGAAAGUAAGUAGGUUGAGAACUUAGGCAAAUCCGGGUUCUUAAGACUGAGAUACGAGACGAGUCACUACGGUGAUGAAGUUGUUGAUGCCAUACUUCCAGGAAAAUCCUCUAAGCUUCAGUUCAUGCUGAAUCGUACCCCAAACCGACACAGGUGGUCAGGUAGAGAAUACUAAGGCGCUUGAGAGAACUC